AACGAACGCUGGCGGCAUGCCUAACACAUGCAAGUCGAACGAAACCUUCGGGUCUAGUGGCGCACGGGUGCGUAACGCGUGGGAACCUGCCCUUAGGUUCGGCAUAACUCCACGAAAGGGGUGCUAAUACCGGAUAAUGUCUUCGGACCAAAGAUUUAUCGCCUUUGGAUGGGCCCGCGUUGGAUUAGCUAGUUGGUAGGGUAAAAGCCUACCAAGGCGACGAUCCAUAGCUGGUCUGAGAGGAUGAUCAGCCACACUGGGACUGAGACACGGCCCAGACUCCUACGGGAGGCAGCAGUGGGGAAUAUUGGACAAUGGGCGAAAGCCUGAUCCAGCAAGGCCGCGUGAGUGAUGAAGGCCUUAGGGUUGUAAAGCUCUUUUACCCGGGAUGAUAAUGACAGUACCGGGAGAAUAAGCUCCGGCUAACUCCGUG
Molecule: ribosomal RNA, 433 nt
Filed under: uncultured bacterium
Lineage: Bacteria
Description: partial 16S ribosomal RNA
Rfam family: Bacterial small subunit ribosomal RNA
Source: RNAcentral